Malaclemys terrapin pileata is the source of this 3585-nucleotide long non-coding RNA. RefSeq lists it as uncharacterized. Lineage: Eukaryota; Metazoa; Chordata; Testudines; Emydidae. The record is from RefSeq and is a predicted model, not a curated record. The transcript has 2 exons.
CCCCGGGAGCCAGACUGAAAUGGAAUGACCUGAGUGGAGCACAACGUUCCCAGCGGCUUGCGGUUGGUGCAGUCAUUAAACCUGUUGAGCUGGGUGGAAGGGGAAUGCUUGUGAAGGCAUUAAGCUUUUGGCCUCUUGCGAAUCACUUGAGUUUUCCUGACUCAACAGUUUAUGUAGGUCUGAUUAGUGUCUUGGCAUGGGCUAAACUUUCCCAUGCUUCCCAGCAGCACUAAGCCUCCUGGGUUUUAAGGAGCUGGGUGUUUUUUUGUUUGUAUUUCUUUCAGGGAGUUUGAAUAAUAGUUUCUGAACACAUCGAUCGCUGCCUAGUAAUGCAACCCAUGCAGAGGUGAGCUUUUAGGAACGCGAGACGGUAGAGGAGUUUGAAGUUUGGCUUUGGAUAAAUAUCCUGAAGUCUGGACGUCUCACCAGACCAUCUAGAGCACCCGGGUUUGCAAAAUGAGCUGAAAAAGAAAUCUGAUGAGAGCAGAUUCUCUGCAUCCAGAGCAGUACCGGGUGAAUCAGUGGAUUCUGGGCAAGUCAUUCCAUCCCACUGUUAUGGGCAUGUCUUCACUGCAUAGUUAACCCAGGUUCUUACCUGGGUUUUAGCCCAAUUCUCCCCACCAUCCACACAAAUAAACCUCUGACCCAGAGUCACGGGGUGCCCGACUCACCCUUGGAGCGCCUCCUUGUGGCCACAGCUGGGGAUUAGCUCUGCCAGUUUGGCAUCUCUUUCUUCAGGUGCUCACUAUCAGAACUGCACCAUCUUCCUGGCUUGGUCCUUCGGCCAGGUCACUGUAGUUUUCCCCCUCUGGGGUGUGUACCAAAGUCUCUCUGUACCAACUGUCCCAGACAAUCUUCCAAUUUGUUGCCCCUCAAUGGUGGCACUUCUCUAGUGGCUGGGAGGGGAACCCACCAGGUUCCAGCCCAGGGACCCUACAACCAGCGUAGGGUCUGUACUGUCCCACACCUUGGUGCUGUUUCCCUGGACUGCUUCCUACCGUGCCUCUGUCGGGCUCCUUUUCCACCUUCCUUCAGAUAUGUCCUUCUCUCUAGGCCUAGCUCCCUACCCUCAGGGUGAGUGACUGCAAACCUCCUCUCUGCAGCCCACUUCUGUCCUCAGUUAUCUGGCUUUAUACAAGGCCUGCCUGUUCCUGCCCAGAAGAGUUUCAUCAUAGAAUCAUAGAAUAUCAGGGUUGGAAGGGACCUCAAGAGGUCAUCUAGUCCAACCCCCUGCUCAAAGCUCCUUUAAUUAGUCCUCAUUGCUCUCUGGCUCCUCCAGGUGUAGGCAGUUAAUUGGUCCUCCUAGCCACAUUAACUCUUUCAGGAGCUGGUGUGGGGUGAACACCCCAUCACAGCCAGGUUUGUACAAGGUUUAAGGCCGGGCUCCUGUUUAACUUUGGCUAGAUCCUCUCCAUUACGCAGUGAGGCUGCAGGCUCACUGGAGUUCUGAUAGUCCUCCAAUGCCUUCCCCCAACCUGGAGGACAGACACGUUCUCCUGCAAGUGACUGUGGAAGGAUCCUAGACUAGCUCAGCAUAAAGAACCAUGGGCUAUGCCCCCAGACACACAUGGGCAGAUGCAGGAAGAGUAAGGACAUGGGGACAUGGGUAAGGCUUUGCAGUGGUGAUGCUCAGCCAAUCACCUGAGUUAACUGUGCAGUGAAGACCUGGCCUGUGUGCUUCAGUUCCUUCUCCCACCUUGUGUCUGCUUAGAUCAUCAAUACUUUGGGGGAAGGUACUGUCUUUUACGAUGUGUCUAGCUCAACGGGGCCAGGAUUUUAGCCUCUAGGUGCUACUGUAAUGCAAACAAAGAUACCAUUUAAUAUUUGAAAGCUCUGGGCCUUCUGUGCUAACAAGGAUCAUGUGAGGACACAGCUGCCCAUUAGCUGCAGGGCAGGGGUUGUAGAUCCCCUUGUCUGGAAGGCUGUCACUUGUAUUAGGCAGGGUGAGGAGACCUCUCCUUUAGCAAGGCCUGGGGGAAUAUUGCCCCCAGUUCAAGCAUGUCUGGCAGCAGUGCAGGAACGGCUUUCGGUUAGGCUUGGUGCUGACUGGCUCCCGGUGACUGCUCUGUGUUCCAGCUGAGCAAACCCCACUGGAAAGGAACCCAGCAGCAGGUCAGAGUGAAGACCAGACACCAAGCCAUCUUCAGCCGCAUCCUCCUCGUCUGCUCUCUGGCAGCAACCGGUGGCAGCUUCUGCUGGUUUAUGGCUCCUUGGUUCACCCACCCAGCAGGGAAGCAGUUAAGAACUGUGCAGUACUGUCUGCUCCUCAUCCAUGCCAAUACGUGGGGCCCUUCUUUCAGAUGGCUCUGGAGAUCUUCACUCAUUUCCUGUGUUCUCUCUCAUAGGCCCCACAGGCCGUUUUCAGGCCUUUCCCCGUUAAUCUCUCGCAAAUGCAUUUGAAGAGCUUUCUUUUCACCUGAAAUGGUUUGCCAGUCUCUGUUCAGUCCCACUCCCUCUCGCUGUCUCAUUCCUCUGGUUCCCCUUUUUAAUUUGCCUUUGCUUAUUUUAAAUACAUAGCUCCUCCACGGCAGAGUGUUUAUAGUUAUAAAAGCCUUCUGCUGAUUGCUUAUGCUGCUCCUUAUAUCCCUACUUAACCGCCUUGGCCUCUGGUGCCAUUUCCUCUUUUCCGAAUGAUCCAGGAUGAAUCUCCGCCCCAGUCCCCAGCUGUUUGCUAGAUUGUUCCCAUAUCUCUGGACCCCUUUUUCCCAGACACUAAAGCAGUCCAGUCAAAAUUCCUUCCCUAGAGUGUUUCUCAUCUCUUCAGUCACCGUCCCUGGAGUCAGAAACAUACACGCCACUGAGUCUCCUUCAUUACCAGAUGUUUCCUUCCCCUUCCCGUGCCCCUGCGUUGCUAGUGCCGCCUAAUGCCAGAAGCAGGGAAGUACCAGAUGCCUGUGGGGUGGUGUAAUGUUAGUAACCUAAACUAGGACCGUAUAGAUCAUUGUUGCAACCACUGUUCUAUAUUUGCAGCAAAUCUUGUACAAAGGUUGUCGUGUGAUGUGUCUAUAAAGAGGUUAUGAUUUGCUGGUUAUGAUUCUGCUAUCUGUAUGUGUGUAUCACUUUUGUAUUUGAAUUCUGAAUAUGGGCUAUGUACUUGUAUCUCAAAUGUAUUUGAUUUCAAGUAGCCAGAGUGAAGCAUUUGGUCAGCUUCUUGAGAAGGGACUAUUCUCAGUAAGUGCCCAAUCAAGAAACGCUUAACUGACAAGGGACUUCGGGAGACACCAAUCCACAUCUGAGCUUUCCUGGGAACAUUCAAACUAACAGUAAGAACAAAGUGGUGUUCUUCCAUGGGCAGAGGAUAUAAAAGGCCCUGAAAAGUCCUCCAUCUUGUCUUCAAUCCUGCUUCUUACCUCUGGAGGGACUUUGCUACAAACUGAAGCUCUGAACAAAGGACUGGAUGACCCAUCCCACCUGUGGAUGUACUCCAGAGACUUCAUUUGAACCUGCAGUUUAUUCUAUUACUGCUACAAGCCUGAACCACGAACUUUGCCAUUACUGUAUGUAAUUGAUUCCAUUUAACCAAUUCUAGCUCUCAUCUCUAUCUUUUUCCUUUUAUGAAUAAACCUUUAGAUUUUAGAUCCUAAA